RNAcentral lists this ribosomal RNA (425 nucleotides) under uncultured bacterium. Its description in RNAcentral is "partial 16S ribosomal RNA". It matches the Rfam family "Bacterial small subunit ribosomal RNA", at positions 354 to 796 of the family's 1533-position model. The record is from RNAcentral.
GUGAGGAAUUUUGCGCAAUGGGGGCAACCCUGACGCAGCGACGCAGCGUGGAGGACGAAGUCUUUCGGGAUGUAAACUCCUGUCAGUGGGGACGAUAAUGACGGUACCCACAGAGGAAGCACCGGCUAACUCCGUGCCAGCAGCCGCGGUAAGACGGAGGGUGCAAGCGUUGUUCGGAAUUACUGGGCGUAAAGCGUAUGUAGGCGGCAAGUUAAGUUCAAUGUUAAAGCCCACGGCUCAACCGAGGAGAUGCAUUGAAUACUGGCUAGCUAGAGGAUGUUAGAGGAAGACGGAAUUCCCAGUGUAGCGGUGAAAUGCGUAGAUAUUGGGAGGAACAUCGGUAGCGAAAGCGGUCUUCUGGGACAUACCUGACGCUGAGGUACGAAAGCGUGGGGAGCAAACGGGAUUAGAAACCCUAGUAGUCC